CCAAUGGUUGACGCUACCUUUUAGCGACAAUGAAAUUAUCUUCCUUUAUUCCUCCAUUGUCCUCCAGACGGUCCUUUUAUGUAAUAAAUAUAAUGCUCCAUCUGUAUACGUAAUACGUCUAUGCUCCGAGAUGUAGGAAUUACCUGGUCUGAAGUACUGUCGAUCUUGUCGACCUUUGUGGUUUAAUUAAUCGAUUCAAUGAUUAUUGUAUAUAAAUCAUCGAAUAUCUUACUUAUAUUUUGAUCUGUCGAAAAAAUUAUUACAUUGACAUUAUAGAUCAAUAUAUAUAAUUGCAAAUUUAUAAUUUAAUAUUGCUAGUCAAAUGCCUAAUGUCAUAAUGUCUAAGAAUGUAUAUUAUAUAUAUUGAUGUAUAUGAUAAUGUUAAAAAUUAAAAAUAAAUUGCCAUCAGUAUUAAAUAAUUAAAUAAAAAUGGAGGAGAGAGCAAUGCUAUGGAUGCUUUCUCUUGUUAUGUUUGUUGGAUCUUGUCUUGGAGCUGGAUCACUGCCAUUAAGUUAAAUAAAUUUAUCAGAAGAAGUAAGAUAUAGAAGUGAAGAAGAAUAUUUUAUGUAAUAUAAAAUUAUGACAAGUUACAAUUAGUUUCAAUAUUAGGAGCAGGACUCCUUGUUGGUACUGCGCUAGCGAUUAUACCUGACUAUACCUGAGGGUGUAAGAGCAUUAUUUACUGUGGAUGGUAUUACUAAUGAAAAAGGUUCAUGUGGCAACAUUACAUACUUUAAUUGGAAUUAGUUUAGUACUUGGUUUAUGCUUUUAAUCGAUCAAUGUUCAGCCAGAAAAAGUGGAGGAAGACAAGAAAGUAUUACAGCAACUUUAGGUCUUAUAGUAGAUGCUGCGGAGUUGCGUUGGGAGCUGCUGCUACUACAUCUCAAGCUGAUGUCGAAGUGUCUUAGUUUUUCUUCGCAAUAAUGUUGCACAAAGCGCCAGAUGCAUUUGGACUUGUGUCAGUUUCUUCUUCAUGAAGGUGUAGAUAGAAAGUAAGAAAAUAAGCAGACACUUAUUAAUUUUCUCUCUUGCGGCACCGUGUCUUGUGACAUACACUUGUGACAUAUUUUGGAAUUGGAAAAAGUAUAUGGAAUGUAUCGCAAGAUGUGCACACAUACAGUUACACCCAUAUGCGCACUAUACUUGUUUCUUUUGCUAUAUACAUAUGCGUAUUGUUUAAUAGAAACAUUUAUUAUCUGAAAGGAAAAAAUGUUCCUGCUGAUGCACAAAAGCGUAACCAUAUACUGAUAUAUCUAAACACUUAUGAUACUUGCCCUGCAGAAUGACACAAUUUAGAGCAAAUACUUAAAUAAAGUGUGACAUUCAGGACUGCCGCGCAAGACUGCACGCGCCAAUCAGGCGCGAGAGCGGACGCGGACGCGCGAAGACACCCAAUCAGGAGCGAGGACUGCCGUGCGUGCGCGAAGACGUCCAAUCAGGCGCGGGAACUGCCGCGCACGCCGCCAAGACUCCCAAUCAGGCGCGAGGACUGCCGCGGACGCGCGAAGACGUCCAAUCAGGCGCGAGGACUGCCGAACAUGCGCGAAAUUGCAAAUUUGAAGGACAAGUUACAAUUAGUUUCAAUAUUAGGAGCAGGACUCCUUGUUGGUACUGCGCUAGCGAUUAUACCUGACUAUACCUGAGGGUGUAAGAGCAUUAUUUACUGUGGAUGGUAUUACUAAUGAAAAAGGUUCAUGUGGCAACAUUACAUACUUUAAUUGGAAUUAGUUUAGUACUUGGUUUAUGCUUUUAAUCGAUCAAUGUUCAGCCAGAAAAAGUGGAGGAAGACAAGAAAUGUAUUACAGCAACUUUAGGUCUUAUAGUAGAUGCUGCGGAGUUGCGUUGGGAGCUGCUGCUACUACAUCUCAAGCUGAUGUCGAAGUGUCUUAGUUUUUCUUCGCAAUAAUGUUGCACAAAGCGCCAGAUGCAUUUGGACUUGUGUCAGUUUCUUCUUCAUGAAAGUGUAGAUAGAAAGUAAGAAAAUAAGCAGACACUUAUUAAUUUUCUCUCUUGCGGCACCGUGUCU
Camponotus floridanus (Florida carpenter ant) is the source of this 2026-nucleotide RNA transcript. RefSeq lists it as uncharacterized. The transcript is spliced from 9 exons. The record is from RefSeq and is a predicted model, not a curated record. NCBI's taxonomy places the organism in Eukaryota, Metazoa, Arthropoda, Insecta, Hymenoptera, Formicidae.